This is a long non-coding RNA of Acinonyx jubatus (cheetah), 660 nucleotides long. RefSeq lists it as uncharacterized. The transcript is spliced from 2 exons. The record is from RefSeq and is a predicted model, not a curated record. NCBI's taxonomy places the organism in Eukaryota, Metazoa, Chordata, Mammalia, Carnivora, Felidae.
GGUAAUACCUGUGUUUUGCAAAAUGGAUUUUACAAGAGUGAUGGAGAGAACUGGUGUGAGAAGUCCUAAGGUAAAUCCAUUUUAGGACCUAGCACCCAAAGAAGAGAAUUGGGAGAAUUGAUCUGGAACAAAGCUGGCCCUUUAGAAGUCUUUUGGGAACUCCUAUCCCACUUGCUCAGGCUGUAUUCCAAUUUAAAGACACAAGAGAUCAACACACUAACCUGAAUUCACAUCUCAUUUUGCCUUCGCUGGCUGCUAUUCAUUUUACUAGUCUUCACAAAGGACUGCCACAAGAAUAACAGCUUCUUUUAUUUCAAAAUUUAAAUUUUAGAGAUACAAUUUAUGGAGGAGAAGAGCUGUUUUAAGUCACUGAAACACCCAAAGAAAAUAUAUCUGACAGUGUUACUGAGAAUCUUCAAGUUUGAAGGAAGAAGCUCGUAGCAGUGGACGGAGAUAGGGGUGGUAGCUGCUGCCAGGUGACUCAAAGUAGGACAUUUGUCACUGCUACUGCUGCUCUCCAUAAGGUGCUGAAUCCCUGACCCCAACCCACUAAGGGCUGCAACAUCUUAGAGGUGCCAAAUGAAGCUGUGCUUUCUCUGAGUCUUCCAGGUGGUGGAACCAUGUGAUAAUCUGAAGAGAAAUAAAGAUAAAUAAAGAGAA